RNAcentral lists this ribosomal RNA (444 nucleotides) under Triticum aestivum (bread wheat). Its description in RNAcentral is "partial small subunit ribosomal RNA". Lineage: Eukaryota; Viridiplantae; Streptophyta; Magnoliopsida; Poales; Poaceae. The record is from RNAcentral.
AUGGUGGUCGGACCGAUUGCGCUGCUCAACCACGACUUCUUGGCGAUUGCGGAAGCAAGCGCAUAUGUUCCUCUGCAUCGCCGGGCUGCCGUUCAAACAGCGAUUGAAGGUUUGCUACAUGAAGCGCAUCUUUUUACCACUGAAUGUAGUGAUCAUCCUCUGGGUAUUGGAAUCUUUGGUUUUGCAAGUUCUUUCUUGAGAGAUACGGCUGUCAAUACCCCGCUAGAGCUUGAGGAGGAGGAUUUUCUUAUCACCUUUGUGCCGCAUAAUGAAGCUCUUAACAGACGCACCACCUCAUUUGGCCCAGAGAUUUGGUUGAUGUUUUUUGGAUUUCCUUACGAUUACCAAACAGACUACUACGUCGGUAUUAUGUUACAUAGCGCUUUCUUGCAUGUAUUGCCGCUAGCAAGUUCAAAGAAUAGAAAACUUAAAGUUCAGGUAUGA